RNAcentral lists this long non-coding RNA (293 nucleotides) under Ganoderma lucidum. Its description in RNAcentral is "long non-coding RNA (GLUC_LNC000030)". Lineage: Eukaryota; Fungi; Basidiomycota; Agaricomycetes; Polyporales; Polyporaceae. The record is from RNAcentral.
AGGUAUUUUUCCUGAGCUAAGCUGCCAUGUUGCAGGGGAUUCAAACCCCGCAAAUUUCGAGCACCACACCAAGGGAGGAAAUGCGCUUAUGCACACUCCCAGAGCCCUCGGGUGCAGCCGUGCUCUGGAAGUAGUGUGGGACUCCUCCGGCAUGAACCCGCCGGCCAUACCCACUAAAACCCCCCAGUGGUAAAGGGACGGCUAAGUCCCAGGGACGGUCUCGAACCCAGGGCUUUCUGCACUUCUGGACACUGGGUCUUUAUCGAGUUGCCCGAUGGUACCGCUACACCACC